RNAcentral lists this long non-coding RNA (786 nucleotides) under Mytilus galloprovincialis (Mediterranean mussel). Lineage: Eukaryota; Metazoa; Mollusca; Bivalvia; Mytilida; Mytilidae. The record is from RNAcentral.
GUGAACUUGGGUAUGGAUAUUAUCGUCAGGAUGUUGGUGGACAUGCAUCCACUAUGCAAUUGCGCUUGAUCUGAAAACCAAGAAGGAUGAAACCCUUGACUCUGAUGUGGUACUCAGGCAGUGAUUAAACGAUGGCCAGAUUUUAAGAUUGUAAAAUAAAGGCUUUAGAAGUUGUUAAACAAAAAUGCCAACAAAGAGACCAUCUAAGUACUUAAUCAACUUGAAAAAAGCUUUACUUAAGUACAAUCUCAUAGACAAACCUCAUUUAAUUUACAAUUGUUGAUGAGAAAAGUGUUGCUAUUCAGGAAAGGUGAAACAGUCACAAUUUUGGUGGUGAAAUGCAGCUAGUAGUGCGUUUCCUCCUAUUCUUUAUCUUUCCUGGACAGAAAGUGAAUGACAGCUGCUGGAGGGGUCUUCCCAGGAUCUGUUGUCACAGCUCUAAAAUGGAGAGCUUAAUUCAGACAUUUUAUGGAUUUCUCCGCAAUCAUUUCAUGAAGAUAGUCCCAGAUAAUGAACUUGUGUUGUUAUUGUUAGAUGGACACGCAUCUCAUUAUCCCUGUUAGACAUUUGAAUGGGCAAGGAACAUAAUAUCAUACUCCAGUUAAUACCAGCAUUCACCAGCCAUUUUUUGCAACCACGGAUGUAGGUUGUUAUGGCCUCUUAAAGAUAUACUACAACAGUCUGUAUAAAAACUAUCAGAACGAAAAACUGGCACUAGAUCACAAUGAUGUGUGCCCAUGUAUGCAAAAGCAUACAAAAAUGCAUUAUCAACUAGUAAUUUGCAAG